UGUUUCGGCAAGGGGGUCAUCCCGACUUACCAACCCGAUGCAAACUGCGAAUACCGGAGAAUGUUAUCACGGGAGACACACGGCGGGUGCUAACGUCCGUCGUGAAGAGGGAAACAACCCAGACCGCCAGCUAAGGUCCCAAAGUCAUGGUUAAGUGGGAAACGAUGUGGGAAGGCCCAGACAGCCAGGAUGUUGGCUUAGAAGCAGCCAUCAUUUAAAGAAAGCGUAAUAGCUCACUGGUCGAGUCGGCCUGCGCGGAAGAUGUAACGGGGCUAAACCAUGCACCGAAGCUGCGGCAGCGACGCUUAUGCGUUGUUGGGUAGGGGAGCGUUCUGUAAGCCUGUGAAGGUGUGCUGUGAGGCAUGCUGGAGGUAUCAGAAGUGCGAAUGCUGACAUAAGUAACGAUAAAGCGGGUGAAAAGCCCGCUCGCCGGAAGACCAAGGGUUCCUGUCCAACGUUAAUCGGGGCAGGGUGAGUCGACCCCUAAGGCGAGGCCGAAAGGCGUAGUCGAUGGGAAACAG
Molecule: ribosomal RNA, 521 nt
Filed under: Escherichia coli
Lineage: Bacteria; Pseudomonadati; Pseudomonadota; Gammaproteobacteria; Enterobacterales; Enterobacteriaceae
Description: partial 23S ribosomal RNA
Rfam family: Bacterial large subunit ribosomal RNA
Source: RNAcentral